GGUUAAGUCCCGCAACGAGCGCAACCCUCGCCCUUGGUUGCCAGCAUUUAGUUGGGCACUCUAAGGGGACUGCCGGUGAUAAGCCGAGAGGAAGGUGGGGAUGACGUCAAGUCCUCAUGGCCCUUACGGGCUGGGCUACACACGUGCUACAAUGGUGGUGACAGUGGGCAGCGAGCACGCGAGUGUGAGCUAAUCUCCAAAAGCCAUCUCAGUUCGGAUUGCACUCUGCAACUCGAGUGCAUGAAGUUGGAAUCGCUAGUAAUCGCGGAUCAGCAUGCCGCGGUGAAUACGUUCCCGGGCCUUGUACACACCGCCCGUCACACCAUGGGAGUUGGUUUUACCCGAAGGUAGUGCGCUAACCGCAAGGAGGCAGCUAACCACGGUAGGGUCAGCGACUGGGGUGAAGUCGUAACAAGGUAACCGUA
RNAcentral lists this ribosomal RNA (425 nucleotides) under Rhizobium sp. W2. RNAcentral describes it as "bacterial SSU rRNA". It matches the Rfam family "Bacterial small subunit ribosomal RNA", at positions 1078 to 1504 of the family's 1533-position model. The record is from RNAcentral. Lineage: Bacteria; Pseudomonadati; Pseudomonadota; Alphaproteobacteria; Hyphomicrobiales; Rhizobiaceae.